CAACCUGCCUUCAGGAUGGGGACAACAGACGGAAACGACUGCUAAUACCGAAUAAGUUCCAAGAGCCGCAUGGCCCAUGGAAGAAAAGGUGGCCUCUACCUGUAAGCUAUCGCCUGAAGAGGGGUUUGCGUCUGAUUAGCUGGUUGGAGGGGUAACGGCCCACCAAGGCGACGAUCAGUAGCCGGUCUGAGAGGAUGAACGGCCACACUGGAACUGAGACACGGUCCAGACUCCUACGGGAGGCAGCAGUGGGGAAUCUUCCGCAAUGGGCGAAAGCCUGACGGAGCAACGCCGCGUGAGUGAUGACGGCCUUCGGGUUGUAAAACUCUGUGAUCCGGGACGAAAAGGCAGAGUGCGAAGAACAAACUGCAUUGACGGUACCGGAAAAGCAAGCCACGGCUAACUACGUGCCAGCAGCCGCGGUAAUACGUAGGUGGCAAGCGUUGUCCGGAAUUAUUGGGCGUAAAGCGCGCGCAGGCGGCUUCCCAAGUCCCUCUUAAAAGUGCGGGGCUUAACCCCGUGAUGGGAAGGAAACUGGGAAGCUGGAGUAUCGGAGAGGAAGGUGGAAUUCCUAGUGUAGCGGUGAAAUGCGUAGAGAUUAGGAAGAACACCGGUGGCGAAGGCGACUUUCUGGACGAAAACUGACGCUGAGGCGCGAAAGCGUGAGGAGCAAACAGGAUUAGAUACCCUGGUAGUCCACGCCGUAAACGAUGGAUAC
Molecule: ribosomal RNA, 718 nt
Filed under: uncultured bacterium
Lineage: Bacteria
Description: bacterial SSU rRNA
Rfam family: Bacterial small subunit ribosomal RNA
Source: RNAcentral